Brassica oleracea var. oleracea is the source of this 800-nucleotide long non-coding RNA. RefSeq lists it as uncharacterized. The record is from RefSeq and is a predicted model, not a curated record. Lineage: Eukaryota; Viridiplantae; Streptophyta; Magnoliopsida; Brassicales; Brassicaceae. The transcript has 2 exons.
AAAACCCCAUACAUGUCAUGUUGGUAUUGAUCGUCUCUCUUUUCUCUCUCUUCUCUCUCUUCCUCGAUGCUUUUCUUUUAUGUCUGAGAAAUCACUCGUCUUGCUCUCCUUCUCCAAAUCCGUAGCAGCUAGAGAACCUCGGCGAAAUCAGAUUGGUGGCUAGGAUUGUGCUGGGACUCAGGUCGGAUCUCGAUGUCAGACGACUCGUCAACGAUAUCGAACGAAUCGAUCUGCUGACGAACGAGACCUUUCUCUAUGAAGUAGGCUGAUAUAACGGUCCAUGCGUCCUGUUCGUAUUUGAUCUCCUCUCGUUGAAGAUUGAAGAACAGAGUAGAGAGAAAGAAAGAGAGAGAGAGAGAGAGAGAGAGAGAGAGCGCGAUUUUGUGGAGAUGAUCUCGAUCUCUCAUUCAAUCGGAGAAGAUGAUCUAUAUAUACCUUUUUUCUCACAACCGUAAUCACAGCCACAGAUAGAGGCUUGGUAUCCCGAAGAAUAGCAUGUACACCUUACUGCAGCCCUAUCGCCAAAAGGAUGGUGCUCUGCUUGCUGUUGGGACACUUUGUGAUAAACUUAGGCAAACUGAACCCUACAAAUCCGAGCUGGAGAAUAUGCUAGUGCAACAUGUUUUUCCUGAAUUCAGCAGCCCAGCUGGUCAUCUUAGAGCCAAGGUUUUAGUUACUGCGUUUGGUUGUUUAGAUCCCCUUUUCAUUCGUUUCUGUUAAGAAAAUAAUACCUCUAUUCAUUUUUAUAAUACAGUUGGAAUAACUCAACUCCGUUAUAGAAUUACUUUAUUUUGUCGAAA